UACAGAGGGUGCUAGCGUUGUUCGGAAUUAUUGGGCGUAAAGGGCGCGUAGGCGGUUUCGCAUGUCCGAUGUGAAAGCCCACCUCUUAAAGGUGGAAUUGCAUCGGAAACUGCGAGACUAGAGUGCCGGAGAGGGUGGUGGAAUUCCUGGUGUAGAGGUGAAAUUCGUAGAUAUCAGGAGGAACACCGGUGGCGAAGGCGGCCACCUGGACGGUUACUGACGCUGAGGCGCGAAAGCGUGGGGAGCAAACAGG
This 253-nucleotide ribosomal RNA is filed under the name uncultured bacterium. RNAcentral describes it as "partial 16S ribosomal RNA". It matches the Rfam family "Bacterial small subunit ribosomal RNA", at positions 524 to 776 of the family's 1533-position model. RNAcentral also lists the same sequence under 1 other name. The record is from RNAcentral.